UUAAGUCACUUGGCCUUUUGGCUAAGGUCAAGUAUAGUAUCUGUACCUAUAUUAAAUGGGGUUUGGAGCAAGGAGAUGGAAUAGGAGCUUGUACCAUCCACUCCACACAUUGACCUGGUAUUGAAGUACUUACAGGAACCAUGCUUUAAAA
Molecule: small nuclear RNA, 151 nt
Gene: U2
Rfam family: U2 spliceosomal RNA
About the family: U2 is a small nuclear RNA (snRNA) component of the spliceosome (involved in pre-mRNA splicing). Complementary binding between U2 snRNA (in an area lying towards the 5' end but 3' to hairpin I) and the branchpoint sequence (BPS) of the intron results the bulging out of an unpaired adenosine, on the BPS, which initiates a nucleophilic attack at the intronic 5' splice site, thus starting the first of two transesterification reactions that mediate splicing.
Source: Ensembl